UUUCAGAUUACAGAAAUUAAAAAGAAAAUUUCUUCUUUCUUCUUUUAGGAUUAAUAUUCAAUAGCAUAGUGAAUUGCUCAAAAGCAAAAAAAGUAUAUGAAGUUCAUUAGAUCACAUUCAUUCUGUGUCAGAAACCUAUGCUGUGUCAACUAUUUAAUCACAAUCAAAAUUCAGAGCUGUAUCCAGCUUGAAUGUUGUGUCCAUACUUGCCCCAACCGUUCAGGGUUAGACCUCUGCGGUCGUAUAAAGCUGC
RNAcentral lists this long non-coding RNA (253 nucleotides) under Mytilus galloprovincialis (Mediterranean mussel). The record is from RNAcentral. Lineage: Eukaryota; Metazoa; Mollusca; Bivalvia; Mytilida; Mytilidae.